ACGUACACUCCUACGGGAGGCAGCAGUGGGGAAUAUUGGACAAUGGGCGCAAGCCUGAUCCAGCCAUGCCGCGUGAGUGAUGAAGGCCCUAGGGUUGUAAAGCUCUUUCACCGGAGAAGAUAAUGACGGUAUCCGGAGAAGAAGCCCCGGCUAACUUCGUGCCAGCAGCCGCGGUAAUACGAAGGGGGCUAGCGUUGUUCGGAAUUUCUGGGCGUAAAGCGCACGUAGGCGGAUCGAUCAGUCAGGGGUGAAAUCCCAGGGCUCAACCCUGGAACUGCCUUUGAUACUGUCGAUCUGGAGUAUGGAAGAGGUGAGUGGGAUUCCGAGUGUAGAGGUGAAAUUCGUAGAUAUUCGGAGGAACACCAGUGGCGAAGGCGGCUCACUGGUCCAUUACUGACGCUGAGGUGCGAAAGCGUGGGGAGCAAACAGGAUUAGAAACCCUGGUAGUCCCAU
This 453-nucleotide ribosomal RNA is filed under the name uncultured organism. Its description in RNAcentral is "partial 16S ribosomal RNA". It matches the Rfam family "Bacterial small subunit ribosomal RNA", at positions 329 to 798 of the family's 1533-position model. The record is from RNAcentral.